This 1397-nucleotide ribosomal RNA is filed under the name metagenome. RNAcentral's name for it is "bacterial SSU rRNA". It matches the Rfam family "Bacterial small subunit ribosomal RNA". The record is from RNAcentral.
GGGUGAGUAAUGUCUGGGAAACUGCCUGAUGGAGGGGGAUAACUACUGGAAACGGUAGCUAAUACCGCAUAACGUCGCAAGACCAAGGAGGGGGACCCUCGGGCCUCUUGCCAUCGGAUGUGCCCAGAUGGGAUUAGCUUGUUGGUGGGGUAACGGCUCACCAAGGCGACGAUCCCUAGCUGGUCUGAGAGGAUGACCAGCCACACUGGAACUGAGACACGGUCCAGACUCCUACGGGAGGCAGCAGUGGGGAAUAUUGCACAAUGGGCGCAAGCCUGAUGCAGCCAUGCCGCGUGUAUGAAGAAGGCCUUCGGGUUGUAAAGUACUUUCAGCGGGGAGGAAGGGAGUAAAGUUAAUACCUUUGCUCAUUGACGUUACCCGCAGAAGAAGCACCGGCUAACUCCGUGCCAGCAGCCGCGGUAAUACGGAGGGUGCAAGCGUUAAUCGGAAUUACUGGGCGUAAAGCGCACGCAGGCGGUUUGUUAAGUCAGAUGUGAAAUCCCCGGGCUCAACCUGGGAACUGCAUCUGAUACUGGCAAGCUUGAGUCUCGUAGAGGGGGGUAGAAUUCCAGGUGUAGCGGUGAAAUGCGUAGAGAUCUGGAGGAAUACCGGUGGCGAAGGCGGCCCCCUGGACGAAGACUGACGCUCAGGUGCGAAAGCGUGGGGAGCAAACAGGAUUAGAUACCCUGGUAGUCCACGCCGUAAACGAUGUCGACUUGGAGGUUGUGCCCUUGAGGCGUGGCUUCCGGAGCUAACGCGUUAAGUCGACCGCCUGGGGAGUACGGCCGCAAGGUUAAAACUCAAAUGAAUUGACGGGGGCCCGCACAAGCGGUGGAGCAUGUGGUUUAAUUCGAUGCAACGCGAAGAACCUUACCUGGUCUUGACAUCCACGGAAGUUUUCAGAGAUGAGAAUGUGCCUUCGGGAACCGUGAGACAGGUGCUGCAUGGCUGUCGUCAGCUCGUGUUGUGAAAUGUUGGGUUAAGUCCCGCAACGAGCGCAACCCUUAUCCUUUGUUGCCAGCGGUCCGGCCGGGAACUCAAAGGAGACUGCCAGUGAUAAACUGGAGGAAGGUGGGGAUGACGUCAAGUCAUCAUGGCCCUUACGACCAGGGCUACACACGUGCUACAAUGGCGCAUACAAAGAGAAGCGACCUCGCGAGAGCAAGCGGACCUCAUAAAGUGCGUCGUAGUCCGGAUUGGAGUCUGCAACUCGACUCCAUGAAGUCGGAAUCGCUAGUAAUCGUGGAUCAGAAUGCCACGGUGAAUACGUUCCCGGGCCUUGUACACACCGCCCGUCACACCAUGGGAGUGGGUUGCAAAAGAAGUAGGUAGCUUAACCUUCGGGAGGGCGCUUACCACUUUGUGAUUCAUGACUGGGGUGAAGUCGAAACAAGGUA